UUCAGGCAAUUUUAUGCGGCUUUUAUAUCUCAUAUUCUUCUGUAAAGAAAAUUCAUACACCCAAGUGGAUGUGAAUAAUAUGAUAUGUUCCGUCAUAUUUCACUUGUGCAGAGAGCUGGCACUCAGACUCUGCCUCUAUGAAGCUGGCAGGGAGCAGGCAAGUGAAAAAAGACUAGGAAAUAGAAGCCAGCCAGGGACACUCAGCCUUGCUCGGAGCUUACGCAGACCACUUUAGGCUGAGCCUCCAGCCUCCUGGAAGCCUCUCACCACACAAUGUAAAGCAUAAUUUCAGGAAACCGCUGUGAUGGGCUACGCAUUUGGGGGCGUACUGCUAUCAGUCUAACAAAACAUUCAAGACCGAUCAUUAGCUGUCGAUUUUACUGUUGGAACAAAUUUUAAAGAUAACCUGGCCUAACAUUAUUUUAAAGACGAAAUUGAGAGCAAAGAUAAAAGGUAGAGAAAGAUCUUCAAUGGGUUUCCCUUUCUUCUGAGCAGAAUUCAGGACUAAAAUUUUCCAUAAGCUAAGUUAUUGACCUCUCUUUAAACACACCAUGUGUGUUGGUUUACAGUCUCCUUUUGCAUGCAGUACCUUCUUCCUUUGGAAAAGUUUUACUUCCUCUUUAAGACCCAGCUCAACAUUAUCUCCUUGGGGAAACCUUUUCCUACUAACCCAAGCAGUUACCUGCUUUCUCCUCUGUGCUUUAAUAGAUCUUUAAAUAUAAUUUUGUUUUAGUGCCUCUCAUCUUUAAAGAGAAAAAUAAAGGUAAACAAUAUCCCUCUCUGAUCUUCCUCUCUAGUGACAUCCUACCCAUUUCCUCCCCUUUGCAGCUAUGAUUCUCAAAAGAACUGUUUCAGGCUUUUCUUCCUCACCUCUGUUUCCUCCUCAGUCCACUGCAGCUGGUUUCUGGCCCCUCCAUUUCACUGAGCUUAUUCUUGGUAAAGGCACCAGUGACCUCUAUGCUGCCCAAUCCCACGGCUGCUUUUCACUUCUUAUCAUACUUGUCCUCCCUGGGACAUUCUACAUAGUUGAUCACCACCUCUUUUAAACACCCUUGGCCUCUGGGAUACCACCGUCUACUGGUUGCCUCUGAUGACUUGGGGCGUGUCUCUCAGCCUCCUUGGGAGUUCAUCUGCCUCUCCUGGGUCUUUAGUGUUAGAGUUCCUCAGAGCUUAGACGUCAGUACUCUUCUCUCUCUUUCCUUUCUUUCUUGGUGAACCUGUCCACUUCCUGUCUUCAGAUUCUAUAAAGUCUCAACAAAAUGUCUUCAGGCAAGAUGACACCUUACGAGUUCUAGCUUGUCAAUCCAACCAUUUACUUACAUCACUAGCACUGUCAUGGUUAUAAGUGAUAAAAUCCCACUCACGACUAGCUUCAGAUAAAACAGAAAGGGAGACAGAUAGACAAAGAAACAGAAAGAGAGAGAGAGAGAGAAAACUAGAGAGAUUAGCAGAUAGACAGAGACUCUUAACUCAUGUAACCAAACCAGGGGCAGAAGCAAGAGAACUCCGUUACUCUCAGGACUCUUUCUCUCUGACUCCUCUCUCUCUGCAUGUUAUCAUCAUUCUUUCAAACCCACAUAAUCCCCUUCGAGGGGACAUAAUCAUUAACAGCUCUGAACAUAAACCCUCACAGCUCUACAACCAGAGUGUAAAAAAAUCCCUCUUCUCUCCACUCAGACUGAGAGAAGGAAUUUGAUUGGUCCAUUGAGGCUCACAAAAUUUUCUAUGAAUCAGUCACUGUAGCCUGGGAGUCAAGAUAUUGUGAUUGAUUCAGAUUGGGUCACAUGCGCACUUCAUAGUUACUAGAGGAAUAACGUUGGGCCGGGCAGUCACACAAUGUCUAUCAGUUAAACUAUUCAAUAUUUCCAUUUGGAUCGCUCACAAGUGUCUCAAGGUGAUAGUAUCCGAAAUCUAACUAGUAAUGUUCCUCCAAAAACCAUGAUUCUCCUCCAGUAUUUUCAGUCUCAGAAAAUGACACCCACAUUUAUGGGAUUGAUAGGAAGUGUGUUUGACAAUCCCUCUCCCUUACUGUCACCACCACCCCACCCACAAUCCAAUGAUCAUGGCCUGUUGAUUCUACAGCCAAGAUAUAUUUUGGAUCCAUCCACUUUUUUUCUGUCUCCAGUGUCACCCUCCUAGUUCAAGUCAAUGUCAUCUCGUACCUAGAUUACUGCAGUAGCACCCUAAUUGGUCUCCUACUGUCCAUUUUGAUAUCCCAUUCUAUAUCUCAAAGCAGGGUGAUUUUCUCAAAACUAAAACUCACUGUGCAUUGCUCUUGCUUAAAAUCUUAGAAAAGCUUCUCACUGCUCUUGAGAUAAGCCCUGACUCCUUAACUUGCCAUCCACACCCUGGAGAUCCAAUCUCUGCUUUCUUUCUAACCUUGUUUCUUUCCACUCUCCCCAUACCCCUACUCAAAAUGUUUCAGCCAUAUCAGACUUACAGUUUUUCAAAAGUAAUUUGAGCUUUACUGAGCUACAGGGCUUUCUUAUGAUCCAGGUAUCAUGUUUUAUGUUUUGGUAUCAUGUUUUUAUGUUUUAUGCCAGGUAGCAUGUUUUAUACUCUCUAGACCCUACAAUUCUUCACAUUAUGUAUCACAACUCUGAUACUUAUUUGUGCAAAAUUUUAACCGUAAAGUUCAUAAGGGUAAGACUGCAUCUGUCUUGUUUGACAUAGUACGCGUAGCACUUAGGACAUACUCAAUCAAUAUUUAUUGAAUGAAUGGUCAUCCCACUUUAUCAAGAUUCUUUAUAUAUCUGUCUUUUCAGUCAAAAUAUAAAUUCAUUCUUUUAUUUCACAAAUAUUAAUUGAGUUCCUGCCUUAUGCUAAGGAGAUAAAUAUUUGGGAUAGAAUCAUGAAGAAGAGAGAUGGGGUUCUUGCUUUUGAAAAUUUAGUCUUUUUACUCUGCAGAAACUGUGUUUUUCCUUUCUAUACCUCAAUUCCUGGCAGAUACCAGCUAUGUCAUGCUUGCUGAAUAAAUGAAUUAAUUAAUUGAUGGAUACUCUGAAGUUGAUCAUCAGCUCUUCCCUUUCUUGUCACUGUUCCUAAUCCUGUGUGUUUGGAAUGACCAAAACACUGAUGGCAGAGAAAAAUGGGCUAUAAGCCACAGGUUUUCUUGCUGGCAGUGACCAGGACCAAACAUAACAAUCGCAGGUAGAAGUGAGAUAAGGUCCAAGAUGGGAUAUUAGCACAAGGGAGGAAGGAAGGUUCUAGAUACAUGGCAUCUGGGAGCCCUGGGGCAAAAGGAUGGGAGAAAAAUUACAAUGUCAAUGGAGUAAGGAAGGAAAAAGGCCAAUGCCCAUUUCUCACUGAAGUUUCUUAUUUAAUGUUUGUCUCCUACUCUGUGUUGUGAGCUCUGUGGCAAUAGGAUCAAUGUCUUUCUCGGUUAUCAGAUCAUCCCCAGUGCCAAUCAAAGCAGCCAUGCUUACUGGAUGACUGAAUGAUUGAAUGCUCUGGUACAGUAGGCUCAAUGCCUCAGAAUCACAGGUCCAAGAAGAUACUGAGGCCAGGACACUUGUUCCUACAUCUCACAUCGCCCAGCGAACACUUCUGGUAGUUGGUUCUGGAGCUCGCCCUCUCCA
Non-coding RNA from Vicugna pacos (alpaca), 3578 nucleotides. The record is from RefSeq and is a predicted model, not a curated record. NCBI's taxonomy places the organism in Eukaryota, Metazoa, Chordata, Mammalia, Artiodactyla, Camelidae.